This 437-nucleotide ribosomal RNA is filed under the name uncultured bacterium. Its description in RNAcentral is "bacterial SSU rRNA". It matches the Rfam family "Bacterial small subunit ribosomal RNA", at positions 30 to 458 of the family's 1533-position model. The record is from RNAcentral.
AGCGAACGCUGGCGGCGUGCUUAACACAUGCAAGUCGAGUGCGCGUUUCGUAGCAAUACGGGAUGGCGCACGGCGCACGGGUGAGGAACACGUGGGCGAACAUGCCCUCUGAUGGGGAAUAACCCCGCGAAAGCGGGGCUAAUACCGCAUAAGAUUCCGGGGACCUCGGUCCCUGGACUGAAAGCCCGCAAGGGCGUCGGAGGAGUGGCCCGCGGCCGAUUAGCUUGUUGGCGGGGUAACGGCCNCCAAGGCAAUGAUCGGUAGCCGGUCUGAGAGGAUGAUCGGCCACACUGGAACUGAGACACGGUCCAGACUCCUACGGGAGCGAGCAGUGGGAAUCUUGCGCAAUGGGCGAAAGCCUGACGCAGCGACGCCGCGUGGGGGAUGAAGCCUUUCGGGGACGUAAAACUGCUUUUCUGAGAGAUGAGAAAGGACAG